AUUCCGUUUCACAUUCCCACCAGUAUUAUAUGAAUGAUCCAGUUUCUCUUCAUCCUCACCAGUUUUUGGUGUAAUCAGAGUCAAUCUGAUAGAUGGACUGCUCUUUUUCUUGCUGGAGGGGUUCCAAGAUGUGUAAAAGACUAUGGGCUUCCAUUUUAUGACUCCGUUCACACUAGGUAAGUGUUGAAGAUAUUCAUUAAAUGUUGAGAGCUCUAUUCCUCAGUAUUGGAUGAUCUGUCCUCAGGCAAGAGGGUGUUUCUGAAUUCCUAUAAGAGCUUUUAUGCUCUCUGGUUCUCUAGGGAGGAAAGGGAGUUUGACAUUCAGAAUUAGCUUGUAUUUUGACAAGUAGGAGGAGGGUAAUACCAGAAAUUGCCUUCAAAGGCCACUUGCAAUGGAAAAUAAAAGUAAAUAAGCAGCGGUAAAUUGUGUCAACAUCUGACUUUAUAAUCUAUUUUCCUUAAUUAUUUUAAUAAGAAUAUGAAAGCAAGAUACAUUGUACAUAAAUCCCCUAGCAGUUGAGUGAGAGCCAAAGGAAUUUUAAGCCUUAAAAAAAGGUAAGUUCUUUGGGAAUUAGCUCUAGGCUAUAUAGGUGUUUUGGUGUGGUGAAGAUAUUCAUUUUACCUAAAGAGAAUUGGAAUACACUUUUGCUUUCAUGAGAAUUGUUUUAUGUAUGCAUUUAAAACAAAGAGAGGCCACUAAACAUUAUCAUGCUACCUUGGGUAGCUUUUGUUUUAAUUGAAAUGCCACCAGGAAAUAUAAUAUCUUAGAUUUUGUUGUUGUGUUUGUGAUGGUGUUAUGCUUUGUUCUGUUUACCAUUUAUGGCUUGGUGAAUAUUUUUAGCAUGAUAUGCAAUAGAAUUGGUAAGGUAUUGCGGAAGAGAAGAUUACAAUAAAGGUCAACACUGAGAUUUUCCCGUUUCUAAGGCCAAUUUAUUUUAAGGAAAGUAUUUUUUAGCAGUAAUGAUUUUCCAUAUUUUUCUAGAUUUUCCAGGGUUUGCUGGACAACAGAUACUUUAUGUACCACAUCAUGGAUCUAUGAAAGAUCACAUUGAUGGAGUACAUUUAAUUGCAGUGGUGAAGGAAAGAACUCCUGUUUUUAAAAAGCUAAUCUAUACAUGGUGCAGACUUUCCAACUUUCUUCUUCUUUCUCCCUCCCUCCUUCCUUCUUUCAGUCCAUAUGCUCCUCAGAGUCACUGCUGAGAGGGGGCCAUAGCUUCCAUAAUUAACAUCUUCCCUUCUCCACCAGCUACAAGACUUUCCAAAUUCCCAAUCAAAACAUAAAAAAACCAAAUAAUGAGACAUGAAAACAUCAAAAUGUGACCUCUCUUCUAUUUAGAAAUCUUGAUAAUUUGAAUGGAAAGGCAGAUUAUCAAGUCAGAACUGUAAAUAAUUUGGAACUUUGAGAUUAAUGCAUUGUAAUGUAUAAAUGUAUAUACAAGGCAGAGGAAAAUAAAAUGAGAAACAAAAUAUACAAAACUCAUUUGACUUGGGCAGUUGAUCUAGAAGAGUAGAUAUCUAAGCAGAUCCACCUGCCCUAAAUUAUUUCUCCUCAUAAUUUUUGACCUUUUUUUUUUAACCAGCAUCUCCCUUCUCCCAGUGCCUGAACUGAAACAAUUAAUUGGCCCCCACAAAUAUCUCCAUUUUUUUUUAACAUUUUUGAUGUCUUAAAUCAUGGCUCUAAAUUUACUGUCUAUGAUCUUUAAACAGGUUAUCUAAACAGUCUGAACUCUAGCAUCAUUUAUAAUAAUUCUUUGCAAAGAUAUAAGUGAAAUAAUAAAGCUAAUAAGCCUAGUACAGUUCCAAACAAACUAUGGAGUUUUCUUUGUCUAUUUGGAGUGUAUAUUUGCUUUUAGUCAUUUGCAUUUUGUUGUGAAUUAGUUUAAUCAGAAUGCUUUAUUCUCUAAUGUCUAUUCUUAUUGAAGAAUAAGAAUCAUUUGAUAGAAGCACUGAAGGGAAAGCUUAAUGUCCCUCAGAACAGCUAGACAUUAACUGGGUACCUGGAGGAGAGAGGAGAGGGACCCUUGGAGGCAAGGAGCAAAGCAGAACAGAGUUACAGAAUGUAAAAGAGAAAUCUCAUCUACUUUUGAUUUUUUGAGGCUUGAGAUGAUAAGGAAAUACAUCCCUUCUAUUCUUUUCCUGCUAAAAGCCCUCUGCAGUCAGAAUCUAAUACUUGGGCACUUCGUUAAUAUCACUCCUUAGUCACACUUGAAUUUGAAAAGUUUCUCUGAGCAAUCUGAUAAGUCAUCAUUUUAAUGGAAAGAAACAUUCUUCUUUACAAAUAUCUCUUUUCCUAUUAAAGUUUAGAUACAUAACCUCUUCAUAAUUAGAUUAGAAACUGACUGUAAUUAAGAUAGCACGUGAUUGAAAUCUCUUAACGCCAGUGCUGACACCAUUAAAUGACAGCUUCUGCAUUUCACGUGUUUUUUAGAUUAAUUGUAUUAGGUGAGUUUUGAUUUGGAUUCUGUAUGACUCAGUUGUAAACCAUGAAUAUAACUGGUUACACUGAAUAACCUUUUGUCCUAUUUUUUAAAUUAAUUCUACCUUCAGAAUCUGAGUGACAGGGUAUCUCAUAUGUUUCAAAUGUGACCACCAGAUAUUAUGGAACAUUGAUACAAAUAAUUCUACCACCCCUCACCAUUCUGGGGCUAAAACUGAGUAAAAAAUAGUAAGCAGUCUUCAUGUCCUCAUAACAACUCCAAUUCUGAGGGUAGCAUUUACUCCUUACUCAUCCCCCAAGAUGCUGAGAGUAGAGUUCAGUGUUUCUGCCCCACCGUCCAUCUUCCCCAUCACAAGCCCAUGAAAGAAGCCAGUCUCAUAUGAUAGGAUAUUAUAUAAAACAAUCAGUAGUUGACAGCUCAUUUUAAAUUUAUAAAUGUCUUCUUCUGAAUUCCUACCCUUUAUAAGAUUUUCUACUGUACUCCUUCUGUGUUGCUGCUAGGAAUCCAAUUUUAUGAAGAAUCCUUGGCAGCAUUCAUGUAAUGUUGCAAAUUCAUUCAGUAAUGGUACAAAUUUCAUGGAGGAAGCGCCAGCAAAAAAGCAAAGUGCCAUCAUUUAGUGUCAUUACACUUAUAAGAUCCAUGUAGCAUAAAGAAGAAAAAAAAUCAUUGCACCAAGUUCCGGCAGAACAUGGGGACUCAUUGAGAUUCUGCAGAGUAAGGGUGCAAUAAUGGGUCACAGUCAGUCAGUUGAAACAUUCUCUCCCUUUGGGAACAGCUGCACGUGACAUAAAUGGAGCACUCUUUCUUUCAGCUAUUAGGUGAACUUGAAUAAACCUGAAUUAUUUAAUUGUUUCCUUACAGGACUAAGGACUAUGGAAGGACUAUGGAAAAUAAGAACAUUAGGGAAUGUGAUAGCAAUUCUGAUUUUGUUUUAAGGUUUUAAAAACAUGACCCCAUGGAAUAUACUAAAUAGAAAAUGAUUUUGGUGGUGUGGAUUUGGUUUUUGUUGUCAACAAGACUUAUAUAUAUAUAUAUAUAUAUAUAUAUAUUUGUAACAAGAUCUUAUUUUAAACAGGGUGCCUAGCAGCUUGGCACGCUGACAAUAUUUGACAAAAUGGCAAACCAAAUGGCACUGAUAGGCAGAAAUUUCCCUCAAACUAGGGAGGAAAUAGCUCUCAGAAAAAAUAAAAUAAAAUAAUAAGGCUUUAAGUACGAAAGAGGAACAUGAGCAGAACAACGAAAAGGUCCUCAGAGGGACCAAAAAGUAUGAAAAAUAUAAGUAUAAAUCUUGCCUAAGCCCAAGGUAAACAGAAUGUCACUAAGUUGGUUCAAAACCUUAGACCUGUAUCAAUAGGAAACAGUCUGAAGUGAAGCAGAAUCUUAACACUCCAAUUCUGUUUUGUUACCUUUGUUCUAUUUUGACUACCAACAAAACAUUUAUUCAUUCAUUCAUUCAUUCAUUCAUUCAGUGAUCAUAGACUAAAGUGUUGAACUUUGUGCAAGGCAUCAAGAAUGAAGUAGUAAACAAGAAAAAAAA
This 3974-nucleotide long non-coding RNA is filed under the name Sus scrofa (pig). Its description in RNAcentral is "lncRNA (ENSSSCG00050009404.1)". The record is from RNAcentral. Lineage: Eukaryota; Metazoa; Chordata; Mammalia; Artiodactyla; Suidae.